GCCCGGAUGGCGGAACUGGUAGACGCAAGGGACUUAAAAUCCCUCGGCCUUUGGCUGUGCGAGUUCGAUCCUCGCUCCGGGUACCA
This 86-nucleotide transfer RNA is filed under the name Desulfobulbaceae bacterium. RNAcentral describes it as "tRNA-Leu". It matches the Rfam family "tRNA". From Rfam's summary of the family: Transfer RNA (tRNA) molecules are approximately 80 nucleotides in length. Their secondary structure includes four short double-helical elements and three loops (D, anti-codon, and T loops). The record is from RNAcentral. Lineage: Bacteria; Pseudomonadati; Thermodesulfobacteriota; Desulfobulbia; Desulfobulbales; Desulfobulbaceae.